UGCAGGUCCUACAGAAGUUGUGUUGUUCGUU
RNAcentral lists this non-coding RNA (31 nucleotides) under Rattus norvegicus (Norway rat). The record is from RNAcentral. Lineage: Eukaryota; Metazoa; Chordata; Mammalia; Rodentia; Muridae.